UACAGAGGUCUCAAGCGUUGUUCGGAAUUACUGGGCGUAAAGGGUGCGUAGGCGGCGUGGUAAGUCAGUUGUGAAAGACCAAGGCUCAACCCUGGUAUUGCAACCGAUACUGCCGUGCUAGAGUGCUGGAGGGGAGUCUGGAAUUCACGGUGGAGCAGUGAAAUGCGUAGAUAUCGUGAGGAACACCAGUGGCGAAGGCGAGACUCUGGACAGCAACUGACGCUGAGGCACGAAGGCUAGGGUAGCGAACGGG
RNAcentral lists this ribosomal RNA (253 nucleotides) under uncultured bacterium. RNAcentral's name for it is "partial 16S ribosomal RNA". It matches the Rfam family "Bacterial small subunit ribosomal RNA", at positions 524 to 776 of the family's 1533-position model. The record is from RNAcentral.